RNAcentral lists this unclassified non-coding RNA (404 nucleotides) under soil metagenome. Its description in RNAcentral is "partial contains 5.8S ribosomal RNA, internal transcribed spacer 2, and large subunit ribosomal RNA". The stretch from base 1 to 122 matches the Rfam family "5.8S ribosomal RNA", at positions 35 to 154 of the family's 154-position model. The record is from RNAcentral.
GAUGAAGAACGCAGCGAAAUGCGAUACUUGGUGUGAAUUGCAGAAUCCCGUGAACCAUCGAGUUUUUGAACGCAAGUUGCGCCCAAAGCCUUUUGGCCGAGGGCACGUCUGCCUGGGCGUCACGCAUCGCGUCGCCCCCCACAAUUCUUCGUAAAGGGAACAUGUGUUUUGGGGGCGGAUAUUGGUCUCCCGUGCUCAUGGCGUGGUUGGCCGAAAUAGGAGUCCUUUCGAUGGACGCACGAACUAGUGGUGGUCGUAAAAACCCUCGUCUUUUGUUUCGUGCUGUUGCUCGCAAGGUAAACUCUUUAAAAACCCCAAUGUGUCGUCUCUUGACGACGCUUCGACCGCGACCCCAGGUCAGGCGGGACUACCCGCUGAGUUUAAGCAUAUCAAUAAGCGGAGGA